GAUGAACGCUAGCUACAGGCUUAACACAUGCAAGUCGAGGGGUAGCACGGAAGAAGCUUGCUUCUUGGGUGACGACCGGCGCACGGGUGCGUAACACGUAUCCAAUCUGCCCGCGGCUCGGGGAUAGCCCAUCGAAAGGGAGAUUAAUACCGGAUGGUGUUUCAAGUUCGCAUGUAAUUGAAACUAAAGAUUUAUCGGUAACGGAUGGGGAUGCGUGACAUUAGAUAGUAGGCGGGGUAACGGCCCACCUAGUCUACGAUGUUUAGGGGUUCUGAGAGGAAGGUCCCCCACACUGGAACUGAGACACGGUCCAGACUCCUACGGGAGGCAGCAGUGAGGAAUAUUGGUCAAUGGUCGAGAGACUGAACCAGCCAAGUAGCGUGCAGGAUGACGGCCCUCCGGGUUGUAAACUGCUUUUAGUUGGGAAUAAAGUUCGGGACGUGUCCCGUUUUGUAUGUACCAUCAGAAAAAGGACCGGCUAAUUCCGUG
This 489-nucleotide ribosomal RNA is filed under the name uncultured bacterium. RNAcentral describes it as "bacterial SSU rRNA". It matches the Rfam family "Bacterial small subunit ribosomal RNA", at positions 28 to 507 of the family's 1533-position model. The record is from RNAcentral.